This 793-nucleotide ribosomal RNA is filed under the name uncultured bacterium. Its description in RNAcentral is "bacterial SSU rRNA". It matches the Rfam family "Bacterial small subunit ribosomal RNA", at positions 8 to 796 of the family's 1533-position model. The record is from RNAcentral.
AGAGUUUGAUCAUGGCUCAGAUUGAACGCUGGCGGCAUGCUUUACACAUGCAAGUCGAACGGGGUGGAGGGGCAACUCUUCAUUCAGUGGCGAACGGGUGAGUAAUGCAUCGGAACGUGCCCCGUAGCGGGGGAUAACCCGGCGAAAGCCGGACUAAUACCGCAUAUGCUCUACGGAGGAAAGCAGGGGACCUGAAAGGGCCUUGCACUAUGGGAGCGGCCGAUGUCCGAUUAGCUUGUUGGUGGGGUAAUGGCCUACCAAGGCGACGAUCGGUAGCUGGUCUGAGAGGAUGAUCAGCCACACUGGGACUGAGACACGGCCCAGACUCCUACGGGAGGCAGCAGUGGGGAAUUUUGGACAAUGGGGGCAACCCUGAUCCAGCCAUGCCGCGUGCGGGAAGAAGGCCUUCGGGUUGUAAACCGCUUUUAGUCGGGAAGAAAAGGCGCAGGUGAAUAACCUGCGUUCUUGACGGUACCGGCGGAAUAAGCACCGGCUAACUACGUGCCAGCAGCCGCGGUAAUACGUAGGGUGCGAGCGUUAAUCGGAAUUACUGGGCGUAAAGCGUGCGCAGGCGGUUCGCUGUGUCCGAUGUGAAAGCCCCGGGCUUAACCUGGGAAUGGCAUUGGAAACUGGCGGGCUUGAGUGCGGCAGAGGGGGGUGGAAUUCCGCGUGUAGCAGUGAAAUGCGUAGAGAUGCGGAGGAACACCGAUGGCGAAGGCAGCCCCCUGGGUCGACACUGACGCUCAGNNACGAAAGCGUGGGGAGCAAACAGGAUUAGAUACCCUAGUAGUCC